GAUGAACGCUGGCGGCGUGCCUAAUACAUGCAAGUCGAGCGAACAGACGAGGAGCUUGCUCCUCUGACGUUAGCGGCGGACGGGUGAGUAACACGUGGAUAACCUACCUAUAAGACUGGGAUAACUUCGUGAAACCGGAGCUAAUACCGGAUAAUAUAUUGAACCGCAUGGUUCAAUAGUGAAAGACGGUUUUGCUGUCACUUAUAGAUGGAUCCGCGCCGCAUUAGCUAGUUGGUAAGGUAACGGCUUACCAAGGCGACGAUGCGUAGCCGACCUGAGAGGGUGAUCGGCCACACUGGAACUGAGACACGGUCCAGACUCCUACGGGAGGCAGCAGUGGGGAAUCUUCCGCAAUGGGCGAAAGCCUGACGGAGCAACGCCGCGUGAGUGAUGAAGGUCUUCGGAUCGUAAAACUCUGUUAUUAGGGAAGAACAAAUGUGUAAGUAACUAUGCACGUCUUGACGGUACCUAAUCAGAAAGCCACGGCUAACUACGUG
This 497-nucleotide ribosomal RNA is filed under the name uncultured bacterium. RNAcentral describes it as "partial 16S ribosomal RNA". It matches the Rfam family "Bacterial small subunit ribosomal RNA", at positions 28 to 507 of the family's 1533-position model. The record is from RNAcentral.